This 253-nucleotide ribosomal RNA is filed under the name uncultured bacterium. RNAcentral describes it as "partial 16S ribosomal RNA". It matches the Rfam family "Bacterial small subunit ribosomal RNA", at positions 524 to 776 of the family's 1533-position model. The record is from RNAcentral.
GACAGAGGGUGCAAACGUUGUUCGGAAUUACUGGGCGUAAAGCGCGUGUAGGCGGUUCGGAAAGUCGGAUGUGAAAGCCCUGGGCUUAACCCAGGAAGUGCACUCGAAACUCCCGAACUAGAGUCCUGGAGAGGAAGGCGGAAUUCUCGGUGUAGAGGUGAAAUUCGUAGAUAUCGGGAGGAAUACCAGUGGCGAAGGCGGCGACCUGGGCCAAUACUGACGCUGAGGUGCGAAAGCGUGGGGAGCAAACAGG